GGAAGGGGAAGUAAUGGGCUACAUUCACUAACAAUAGUGUAUACGAACAGUGCACUGAAACGUGCACAUUGAAGGAGGAUUUAGCAGUAAGUGGAAAAUAGAGCGUUCCACUGAAAUUGGCCCUGAAGCGCGCACACACCGCCCGUCACUCUCCCCAAGCUCCACUAGCCUAAAUGCCUAAAACCUAAAAAAUGCAAAGGGGAGGCAAGUCGUAACAUGGUAAGCGUACCGGAAGGUGCGCUUGGAAAAAC
Molecule: ribosomal RNA, 251 nt
Filed under: Chaetodon humeralis (threebanded butterflyfish)
Lineage: Eukaryota; Metazoa; Chordata; Actinopteri; Chaetodontiformes; Chaetodontidae
Description: partial 12S ribosomal RNA
Rfam family: Bacterial small subunit ribosomal RNA
Source: RNAcentral